RNAcentral lists this ribosomal RNA (465 nucleotides) under uncultured bacterium. Its description in RNAcentral is "partial 16S ribosomal RNA". It matches the Rfam family "Bacterial small subunit ribosomal RNA", at positions 338 to 795 of the family's 1533-position model. The record is from RNAcentral.
CCUACGGGCGGCAGCAGUGGGGAAUAUUGCGCAAUGGGCGAAAGCCUGACGCAGCGACGCCGCGUGAGGGAUGAAGGUCUUCGGAUCGUAAACCUCUGUCAGCAGGGAAGAACGGUCACUGUGCUAAUCAGCAGUGAAUUGACGGUACCUGCAAAGGAAGCACCGGCUAACUCCGUGCCAGCAGCCGCGGUAAUACGGAGGGUGCGAGCGUUAAUCGGAAUUACUGGGCGUAAAGCGCUCGUAGGCGGUAUGUCAAGUCAAGGGUGAAAUCCCCGCGCUCAACGUGGGAACUGCAUUUGAAACUGGCAAACUGGAGUGUGUGAGAGGAUAGUGGAAUUCCAGGUGUAGGAGUGAAAUGCGUAGAUAUCUGGAGGAACAUCAGUGGCGAAGGCGACUAUCUGGCACAUAACUGACGCUGAGGAGCGAAAGCGUGGGUAGCAAACAGGAUUAGAUACCCUGGUAGUC